RNAcentral lists this small RNA (468 nucleotides) under uncultured Glomus. RNAcentral describes it as "SSU rRNA". It matches the Rfam family "Eukaryotic small subunit ribosomal RNA", at positions 569 to 1040 of the family's 1831-position model. Lineage: Eukaryota; Fungi; Glomeromycota; Glomeromycetes; Glomerales; Glomeraceae. The record is from RNAcentral.
AGCAGCCGCGGUAAUUCCAGCUCCAAUAGCGUAUAUUAAAGUUGUUGCAGUUAAAAAGCUCGUAGUUGAAUUUCGAGAUCAAAUUGUUGGUCGUGCCUCGGUACGCACUGGCAUUAUUGAUUUCUCCCUUCUGACGAUCCGCAAUGUCAUUAAUUUGGUGUCGCGGGGAAUCAGGACUGUUACUUUGAAAAAUUAGAGUGUUUAAAGCAGGCUCACGCUUGAAUACAUUAGCAUGGAAUAAUGAAAUAGGACGUUUGAUUCUAUUUUGUUGGUUUCUAGGAUCGACGUAAUGAUUAAUAGGGAUAGUUGGGGGCAUUAGUAUUCAAUUGUCAGAGGUGAAAUUCUUGGAUUUAUUGAAGACUAACUACUGCGUAAAGCAAUUUGCCUAAGGAUGUUUUCAUUAAUCAAGAACGAAAGUUAGGGGAUCGAAGACGAUCAGAUACCGUCGUAGUCUUAACCAUAAACCUA